ACGCUCGACACCUACGGGAGGCAGCAGUUGGGAAUAUUGGACAAUGGAGGAAACUCUGAUCCAGUGACGCCGCGUGAAGGAAGAAGGUCUUCGGAUUGUAAACUUAUUUUGUCAGGGAAGAAAAAUGACUGUACCUGAAGAAAAAGCACCGGCUAACUACGUGCAAGCAGCCGCGGUAAUCUGAGCGGGCUGGGACAAGGC
This 201-nucleotide ribosomal RNA is filed under the name uncultured bacterium. Its description in RNAcentral is "partial 16S ribosomal RNA". It matches the Rfam family "Bacterial small subunit ribosomal RNA", at positions 328 to 538 of the family's 1533-position model. The record is from RNAcentral.